UAAGCGAUGUGUGAAAUGACAGGGCUCAACCCUGUGUCCAUGCAUUGAACUGCUUUGACUAGAGAAUGGUAGAGGUCGCUGGAAUUCCAGGUGUAGGGGUGAAAUCCGUAGAUAUCUGGAGGAACACCGAUGGCGUAGGCAGGCGACUGGACCAUUUCUGACGCUCAGGCACGAAAGCGUGGGAGCGAUCGGGAUUAGAUACCCCGGUAGUCCACGCCGUAAACGAUGGAUGCUA
RNAcentral lists this ribosomal RNA (235 nucleotides) under uncultured Candidatus Saccharibacteria bacterium. RNAcentral's name for it is "partial 16S ribosomal RNA". It matches the Rfam family "Bacterial small subunit ribosomal RNA", at positions 584 to 818 of the family's 1533-position model. Lineage: Bacteria; Candidatus Saccharimonadota. The record is from RNAcentral.